GAUGAACGCUGGCGGCGUGCCUAAUACAUGCAAGUCGAGCGAACAGACGAGGAGCUUGCUCCUCUGACGUUAGCGGCGGACGGGUGAGUAACACGUGGAUAACCUACCUAUAAGACUGGGAUAACUUCGGGAAACCGGAGCUAAUACCGGAUAAUAUAUUGAACCGCAUGGUUCAAUAGUGAAAGACGGUUUUGCUGUCACUUAUAGAUGGAUCCGCGCCGCAUUAGCUAGUUGGUAAGGUAACGGCUUACCAAGGCAACGAUGCGUAGCCGACCUGAGAGGGUGAUCGGCCACACUGGAGCUGAGACACGGUCCAGACUCCUACGGGAGGCAGCAGUAGGGAAUCUUCCGCAAUGGGCGAAAGCCUGACGGAGCAACGCCGCGUGAGUGGUGAAGGUCUUCGGAUCGUAAAACUCUGUUAUUAGGGAAGAACAGAUGUGUAAGUAACUAUGCACGUCUUGACGGUACCUAAUCAGAAAGCCACGGCUAACUACGUG
This 497-nucleotide ribosomal RNA is filed under the name uncultured bacterium. Its description in RNAcentral is "partial 16S ribosomal RNA". It matches the Rfam family "Bacterial small subunit ribosomal RNA", at positions 28 to 507 of the family's 1533-position model. The record is from RNAcentral.